This 433-nucleotide ribosomal RNA is filed under the name uncultured bacterium. Its description in RNAcentral is "partial 16S ribosomal RNA". It matches the Rfam family "Bacterial small subunit ribosomal RNA", at positions 29 to 507 of the family's 1533-position model. The record is from RNAcentral.
AAUGAACGCUGGCGGCAGGCCUAACACAUGCAAGUCGAGCGAGCAUUUCGGUGCUAGCGGCGGACGGGUGAGUAACGCGUGGGAACGUGCCCUUUUCUGCGGAAUAGUCCUGGGAAACUGGGGGUAAUACCGCAUACGCCCUUUUGGGGAAAGAUUUAUCGGAGAAGGAUCGGCCCGCGUUGGAUUAGGUAGUUGGUGGGGUAAUGGCCCACCAAGCCGACGAUCCAUAGCUGGUUUGAGAGGAUGAUCAGCCACACUGGGACUGAGACACGGCCCAGACUCCUACGGGAGGCAGCAGUGGGGAAUCUUAGACAAUGGGGGCAACCCUGAUCUAGCCAUGACGCGUGAGUGAUGAAGGCCUUAGGGUUGUAAAGCUCUUUCAGCUGGGAAGAUAAUGACGGUACCAGCAGAAGAAGCCCCGGCUAACUCCGUG